GCGGGUCCUGCAGACUGGGCGCGCCGCUGCAAUGCGGGAUGCGAGCGGGCCCUGCCCCAGACGAACGGUUGUGGGAGCUUGGGGCGAUUGGUGCAAUCUGGGCGAACCCGGGGACUUGCGAGGUACCCGGUUUUCAAGGUGAAGCAUCCUAAAAUGCAGAAACGUGUGGUCCGGAUAGCCCAGCUGAUUCUAUUCUUGUGACCACACUUGAUGUAAAGAAGGGUGUUUGGCCAGGUGUGAUGGCGCACACCUUUAAUCCCAGAAUUUGGGAGGCAGAAGCAGGCAGAUGAGUCCGCAGCCAACCUGGUCUACAGAGCGAGUUCCAGGACAACCAGAGCUACACAGAGAAAUCCUAUCUGGGAAGUGUGGAUAGUGGUUACUGAUCUCUCUCUUUCUUUCUCUCUCUCUCAUUCUCUCAACAGGGUCUCACUAUGUUGUGCUAACUCUCCUGUAACUAGCCAUGUAGACCAGGCUGGCCUCAAAUUCACAGAUCUGCCUCCUCUGCUUCCCAGAUCGGGUUUUUCUGUGUAGCCCUAACUGGCUAACUGGCCUCGAACUCACAAGUACUGGGAUUAAAGGCAUACACUGCACCCAGCUCAAAGAAUGUGGAGCAAUGACAGCCAUGAUGA
This is a non-coding RNA of Myodes glareolus (Bank vole), 629 nucleotides long. Lineage: Eukaryota; Metazoa; Chordata; Mammalia; Rodentia; Cricetidae. The record is from RefSeq and is a predicted model, not a curated record.